GGGCCCUUAGCUUGAGUUACUCCAUAUUGCUUUGCUCCCCUUACUGCGCAUGUGUUAAGGGAUGGAAUUUUCCAUUGCAGGUGUGUCUAGGCAAGUCACCUGUGUAGCCGUUCUUAUCUAUGCAGCUGUGGGCAUGUCUUAGGCAAGCCCCUCUGUACAAGUUCCCUUAUCUGUGCCUGCAGCUUGAUUUUUUUAGGCUUUUCUUUUGUUUGAGAGAAGUUAACCAAGGACCCACCCUAACUGACUGCCUGACUGAUUUCUUCCUUUUCCCUCUCUCACUAGGGAAGGGAAAUAUCCAACUCAAGGCCAAUGUAGCCUUCAAGGCAGCAGCAGAGAAGUACUCAAUUUUAGCACCCUCUAGCUUUUUUCUUUUUCUUAAAGCCUAGAGGUAAUGAUACUGUAAGACAAAAAUAAGACCUUACGCCCCCUACUGGCUUAGGAACCCCUUCUUGACAAAGGGGAGCCCAGAGAAACCUGAAAAACUGGAUCCCUGGCCAUGACAGAAAGGAAGGUCAAACUCAUCUUGUUACACUCCCUCUCUUUUGGAGUGUACACACAACUCACCCACAUUAAAAUUAAAAUAGAGAUCAUAAGACUGGCAAAACAGACAUCUGCAUCAUUAAGAUACUAAAUUAUAAACAAGACUUAAGCCCAUUCAAAUAAAGGUUAAGUCACACUCUACAGCCCAUAAAAUCUUAAAGAAGUUUUGUUGUUGUUGUUGUUAACCUGUUACAAUGUGGCUUACUUUUCAACCUGACUCUGUUAUAACAUCACAUGACAGCAGGCCCUAAAGGCAAUCAAAAUAUUUUACCCCAAAAUAUAUUUCUUUGACAUAUUUUGAAAUGACUGCCACAGUGCCAGCAGAUGGAAAUGGCCUUGCAAAGCUAUCUUUGGUGGGAGAAAUUUGAGUCUGUGGAGAUCUCCAUAAAUGCAGUCAGGCCUUCCUUGUUUAGGCCUUUCCUGGAUCUAGGAGAGAUUAACUGAGAAUCUGACACCUUUAAAAAUCUGAAAAGACACAUCUGACAUCUAUUCUCUGAGGGCUGUGACCUGAGUCUUCAUCUAUAUAACAAAGGCCUUGGCCCCCACAACUCCUUUAUCUUUACUUAGGCAUUUUUUUUUUUAAACUGUCUUCAAGUCUUUAGAUAAUAGCUUAAUUCUCUCAAUUGUCAAGUAAAGAAUCCCUAAAACUCACCUAAUGACUAGUAAACCUCUGCAUUGGGAUGUCCUGCCUUUUUGGGUUGAAUCAAUGUAUAUUUUCCCUGUAUUGAUUUAUGCCAUUUCCUGUAGUUCCUGUCUCCCUAAAAUGUACAGAACCAAACUGUAAUCCAACCACUUUGGGGCUACUUAUUAAAGGCUUCUUUGGUUUGUGUUUUUUCUGGGCUGUGGUCACUCAUACUGGCUCAGAAUAAACCUCUUUAAAAUAUUUUACAGAGUAUGUUGUUUUUCAUUAAAAGUCCAAAACAAUACCAUAAGCCAUUGUGAAGGCCCUAGCUAAGGGAUACAGUCUCUGUCUUUUACUGAGGCUAUAUCCCUUAGCUAGGGACUUCACAAUGGCUUAUAGUUUUGUUUUGGACUUUUACUAAAAAAAGAUACUCUGUAAAAUAUUUUAAAAGGGGUUUAUCCUGAGCCAAUAUGAGCCAAAAUCCCAGCAAUGUUUAAGGUCAAGGUAGAAGGAUUGCUUGAGCCCAGAAGUUUAAGACCAGCCUGGGCAACAUAGUGAGACCCCAUCUCAAAAAAAAAAAAAAA
This 1746-nucleotide long non-coding RNA is filed under the name Macaca mulatta (Rhesus monkey). Its description in RNAcentral is "lncRNA (ENSMMUG00000056269.1)". Lineage: Eukaryota; Metazoa; Chordata; Mammalia; Primates; Cercopithecidae. The record is from RNAcentral.